RNAcentral lists this ribosomal RNA (1531 nucleotides) under Tenuifilum thalassicum. RNAcentral describes it as "bacterial SSU rRNA". It matches the Rfam family "Bacterial small subunit ribosomal RNA". Lineage: Bacteria; Pseudomonadati; Bacteroidota; Bacteroidia; Bacteroidales; Tenuifilaceae. The record is from RNAcentral.
UACAGCGGAGAGUUUGAUCCUGGCUCAGGAUGAACGCUAGCGGCAGGCCUAACACAUGCAAGUCGAGGGGUAACGGGCGGAAAGCUUGCUUUCCGUGCCGACGACCGGCGUACGGGUGCGUAACGCGUAUGCAACCUGCCCCGCACCGGGGGAUAGCCCGCCGAAAGGCGGAUUAAUACCCCAUGGUCCCUGGGGGCCGCAUGGUUCCCGGGGUAAAGCUCCGGUGGUGCGGGAUGGGCAUGCGUGCCAUUAGUUGGCUGGUGCGGUAACGGCGCACCAGGGCUACGAUGGCUAGGGGGUCUGAGAGGAUGGUCCCCCACACUGGUACUGAGACACGGACCAGACUCCUACGGGAGGCAGCAGUGAGGAAUAUUGGUCAAUGGGCGGAAGCCUGAACCAGCCAUGCCGCGUGCGGGAAGACGGCCCUACGGGUUGUAAACCGCUUUUCCCCGGGAAGAAUAACCCCGACGCGUCGGGGGAUGCCGGUACCGGGGGAAUAAGGAUCGGCUAACUCCGUGCCAGCAGCCGCGGUAAUACGGAGGAUCCGAGCGUUAUCCGGAUUUACUGGGUUUAAAGGGUGCGUAGGCGGCCCAUCAAGUCAGCGGUGAAAUGUGGCGGCUCAACCGUUUCGCUGCCGCUGAUACUGCUGGGCUUGGAUUCGGUCGAGGCGGGUGGAAUUCGUGGUGUAGCGGUGAAAUGCAUAGAUAUCACGAGGAACGCCGAUAGCGAAGGCAGCUCGCCGGGCCGCGAUCGACGCUGAGGCACGAAAGCGUGGGGAUCAAACAGGAUUAGAUACCCUGGUAGUCCACGCCGUAAACGAUGAUGGCUGGGUGUUCGUCCGCAAGGGCGAGUGCCUGAGGGAAACCAUUAAGCCAUCCACCUGGGGAGUACGGCCGCAAGGCUGAAACUCAAAGGAAUUGACGGGGGCCCGCACAAGCGGAGGAACAUGUGGUUUAAUUCGAUGAUACGCGAGGAACCUUACCUGGGCUCGAACGCGGGGGGGAUGUGCCGGAAACGGUACAGCCAGCAAUGGCCGCCCGCGAGGUGCUGCAUGGUUGUCGUCAGCUCGUGCCGUGAGGUGUCGGGUUAAGUCCCAUAACGAGCGCAACCCCUACCGCCAGUUGCCAGCGGGUGAAGCCGGGGACUCUGGCGGGACUGCCGGCGUAAGCCGAGAGGAAGGCGGGGAUGACGUCAAAUCAGCACGGCCCUUACGUCCAGGGCUACACACGUGUUACAAUGGCCGGUACAGAGGGAUGCGACCCCGCGAGGGGGAGCGGAUCCCGAAAGCCGGUCGUAGUUCGGAUCGGAGUCUGGAACCCGACUCCGUGAAGCCGGAUUCGCUAGUAAUCGCGCAUCAGCCAUGGCGCGGUGAAUACGUUCCCGGGCCUUGUACACACCGCCCGUCAAGCCAUGGGAGCCGGGGGUACCUGAAGUGCGUGACCGCGAGGAGCGCCCUAGGGUAAGACCGGUGACUGGGGCUAAGUCGUAACAAGGUAGCCGUACCGGAAGGUGCGGCUGGAAUACCUCCUUU